UACGUAGGGGGCAAGCGUUGCUCGGAAUCACUGGGCGUAAAGGGCGCGUAGGCGGACAAGUAAGUCGGGCGUGAAAUCCCUAGGCUCAACCUAGGAACUGCACUCGAAACUGCAUGUCUUGAGUACCGGAGAGGAAAGCGGAAUACCUGGUGUAGAGGUGAAAUUCGUAGAUAUCAGGUGGAACACCAGUGGCGAAGGCGGCUUUCUGGACGGUAACUGACGCUGAGGCGCGAAAGCGUGGGGAGCAAACAGG
RNAcentral lists this ribosomal RNA (253 nucleotides) under uncultured bacterium. RNAcentral's name for it is "partial 16S ribosomal RNA". It matches the Rfam family "Bacterial small subunit ribosomal RNA", at positions 524 to 776 of the family's 1533-position model. The record is from RNAcentral.